This 471-nucleotide ribosomal RNA is filed under the name uncultured organism. Its description in RNAcentral is "partial 16S ribosomal RNA". It matches the Rfam family "Bacterial small subunit ribosomal RNA", at positions 334 to 797 of the family's 1533-position model. The record is from RNAcentral.
CACUCCUGCGGGAGGCAGCAGUGGGGAAUUUUGGACAAUGGGCGAAAGCCUGAUCCAGCAAUGCCGCGUGAGUGAAGAAGGCCUUCGGGUUGUAAAGCUCUUUUGUCAGGGAAGAAACGGUGAGAGCUAAUAUCUCUUGCUAAUGACGGUACCUGAAGAAUAAGCACCGGCUAACUACGUGCCAGCAGCCGCGGUAAUACGUAGGGUGCAAGCGUUAAUCGGAAUUACUGGGCGUAAAGCGUGCGCAGGCGGUUUUGUAAGUCUGAUGUGAAAUCCCCGGGCUCAACCUGGGAAUUGCAUUGGAGACUGCAAGGCUAGAAUCUGGCAGAGGGGGGUAGAAUUCCACGUGUAGCAGUGAAAUGCGUAGGUAUGUGGAGGAACACCGAUGGCGAAGGCAGCCGCCUGGGUCAAGAUUGACGCUCAUGCACGAAAGCGUGGGGAGCAAACAGGAUUAGAUACCCCAGUAGUCCC